Trichuris trichiura (human whipworm) is the source of this 84-nucleotide non-coding RNA. The record is from Rfam. NCBI's taxonomy places the organism in Eukaryota, Metazoa, Nematoda, Enoplea, Trichinellida, Trichuridae.
GACUGGAUGGCCGAGCGAUCCAAGGCACUGCGUUUAGGCUGCAGUCUAUUUCGAUGGGUGUGGGUUCAAAUCCAGCUCCAGUCA